RNAcentral lists this ribosomal RNA (528 nucleotides) under Eulichas sp. UPOL RK0646. Its description in RNAcentral is "partial 16S ribosomal RNA". It matches the Rfam family "Bacterial large subunit ribosomal RNA", at positions 1822 to 2610 of the family's 2925-position model. Lineage: Eukaryota; Metazoa; Arthropoda; Insecta; Coleoptera; Eulichadidae. The record is from RNAcentral.
CAUGUCUUUUUGAAAAUAAUUUAAGGUCUAAUCUGCCCGCUGAGGAUUUGAAUGGCCGCGGUAUUUUGACCGUGCAAAGGUAGCAUAAUCAUUAGUUUUUUGAUUGAAAGCUGGAAUGAAUGAUUGGACGAGAAAAUUUCUGUCUCUGAUUAAUUUUUUGUAAAAUUUAACUUUUGAGUUAAAAGGCUCAAAUGGGUUUGAAAGACGAGAAGACCCUAUAGAGUUUAAUUCAUUUAUUUUGAUUCUUAAUUUAGGAAUUUAUUUUAACUUUUCUUUAAGUGAAUUUUGUUGGGGUGAUGGGAAGAUUAAUUAAACUCUUUUUAUUUAUUUAACAAUUGUUUUUGGUAUUUUGAUCCAAUUUUUUUGAUUAAAAGUUUAAAUUACCUUAGGGAUAACAGCGUAAUUUUUAUAGAGAGUUCUUAUCGAAAUAAAGGAUUGCGACCUCGAUGUUGGAUUAAAGUUAAUUUUUAGUGCAGAAGCUUUAAAUAUUAGGUCUGUUCGACCUUUAAAACUUUACAUGAUCUGAGU